CUGUCACUAGUCACCCCCUCCCUCUCUCUGUCACUAGUCACACUGUCCCUCACUCUGUCACUAGCGUGAGGGAGUGACAGGUGACAGAGUGAGGGAAUGGGUGACUAGUGGCAGAGUGAGGGGAUGACUGGUGACAGAGUGAGGGGAUGACUGGUGACAGAGUGAGGGAGGUGGUGACUAGUGACAGAGUGAGGGAGGUGGUGACUGUCACUAGUCACCACCUCCCUCACUCUGUCCCUAGUCACUCCUCCCUCUGUCACUAGUCACCCCCUUCCUCACUGUCACUAGUCACCCCCUUCCUCUCUUUGUCACUAGUCACACCCUCCCUCACUCUG
Molecule: non-coding RNA, 335 nt
Organism: Pelobates cultripes (western spadefoot toad)
Lineage: Eukaryota; Metazoa; Chordata; Amphibia; Anura; Pelobatidae
Source: the annotation of a GenBank genome assembly